CUCGCUAGAAUGGAUCCUAUGAGGUCACACACAAAGGUAUUGGGUUAAGCAAGUAAGAGGCCCAUUAAUGGGCCCUAUGAGCAUUUAACUAAUCAUGAAUAGGAUUGGGAUAGUGUAGUUUGAUUGGGAUUAGGAAUUUGGCUUUUUCAUGGACUCUUAUUUAGAGAUGUGAUCUAUAAAUAAGAUCCAUGCCUAGGGUUGAUCAAUUAAGUCACAAUUAACUUACAGUGAAUUGUGAAUCAAGGCAACCAAAUCCCAAAAACCCUAAACCUCCCUCUCUCUCUCACGGCACCCCUCUCCCCCAUUGGACUUGCGGCCGGCCACUCCUGGUGGAGUUCGUGGUGGUUCAUGACUAGUUCGUUGUUCAUUCUUCUCAGUAGAAAGUCGGUUGAAGAGUUUGAUCGCGACUAACUAGCAUUAGUGGAGGUAUUAAUCCGUGCUUGUGGACCAAGUAGAGGAAUCACGUUUGAGGUUCUUUGUCUCCCUUGUUCUUGUUCGAUUACUAGUGGAAUCACGCUUCAAAGGCAGAUUAAGACGUGAAGAUGAGGAGAAAAUGGGGUUUACCACCUCAAGUGGCGUCGCCAUUCUCGGUGGUGGACAGGACAGAACAACAUCAUGCUUCGUUGCACAUAAAGUUAGCGACGAAGCUGUUGUGGUUCACAUAGCGUCGUCUCCUCUGCAUAAACAGCAGAAGAUGGACGAUGCCCUAGUAUUUUAAGAUGUGGAGAUACGCUUUCCUUCUGAAUUUCUCAACCUUGCUAAGAGGAAUCGUCAGCCUAUGUUCCCUCAACUAAAUCAAGUGUUGUUUCGGGGUUCUCGAGAGCAUUUGGCUGGGACUUCCAAUUUGGACAUCGCGUCGGAGGAUGCUUCCGUUCAUCUUUAUUAUUUGCAAAAUUCCCUGGUUUUGAGGGAGAGGGUGAUCGGGUUGGCUAAGGAUAUGAAGAGGUUGGAUGAUGUUGCGAAGAAUAGUGAAGCUAAGACAAAGAAUGCAACGAG
This is a long non-coding RNA of Chenopodium quinoa (quinoa), 996 nucleotides long. RefSeq lists it as uncharacterized. The record is from RefSeq and is a predicted model, not a curated record. The transcript is spliced from 3 exons. Lineage: Eukaryota; Viridiplantae; Streptophyta; Magnoliopsida; Caryophyllales; Amaranthaceae.